RNAcentral lists this unclassified non-coding RNA (275 nucleotides) under uncultured fungus. RNAcentral's name for it is "sequence contains ITS1". The record is from RNAcentral. Lineage: Eukaryota; Fungi.
GUUUUUAUAGAUUUUUUAGGUCUAUGUUACAAUAUUUUAUACUGAAUUCUUUUGGUAAAUAAUAAUUAGGAUACCAAGCUUAAAAAAAAGCUUGAUCGAGACUCGGUUAAAAUCAUCCUGCUGACCUAUCCUUAUAGCCAGCAAGCAUCCCUCAAACAUCUCGUAAUAAUACAGUUCACAGUAAAAUAGAAUAUUAACUGGAGAUUCUCUCGUAAAAAAGAAAAACCAGAAUAUCAAAUUAUUUAAUGAUCCUUCCGCAGGUUCACCUACGGAAA